This is an RNA transcript of Rosa rugosa (rugosa rose), 3167 nucleotides long. It is a transcript of the gene named pectinesterase 31-like, with no coding region annotated. The record is from RefSeq and is a predicted model, not a curated record. The transcript has 4 exons. NCBI's taxonomy places the organism in Eukaryota, Viridiplantae, Streptophyta, Magnoliopsida, Rosales, Rosaceae.
GAACCCUAUUAAUCCACAACUCUUCGCUAUGAGUAGGGUUCGUACCACGAUCCUCAUCGGGUUUCCCAUAAGAAGAUCAGAUCCACAACGAGACUCCAUUUCCUGCUGGCAAACGCCUUGAAAUGUCCGACUGUGUGAAAACGGUGUCACAGGACGGCUCCGGUGACUACCGCACCGUACAGGAGGCCAUCGACGCCGUGCCUCUCAAAAACACGUGUCGCAUUGUGAUUCGUAUAUCUCCCGGCAUCUACCAGCAGCCGGUGUAUGUCCCCAAGACCAAGAACCUCAUCACACUGACGGGUUUGCUUCCGGAGGAGACUGUGCUGACGUGGAACAACACCGCUACCAAAAUCGAGCACCACCAGAAUUCUGAGGUGAUUGGGACUGGGACUUUUGCAUGUGGGAGUACAAUAGUGGAAGGAGAGGACUUCAUUGCUGAGAAUAUCACUUUUGAGAACUCUUCUCCUGAGGGUUCAGGCCAAGCUGUGGCAAUGAGAGUAACAGCGGAUAGGUGUGCCUUCUAUAACUGCAGAUUCCUUGGAUGGCAGGAUACCCUAUACUUACAUCAUGGAAAGCAGUAUUUGAAAGAUUGUUAUAUUGAAGGAAGUGUAGACUUCAUUUUCGGCAAUAGCACAGCUCUUUUGGAGCAUUGUCAUAUCCACUGCAAGUCGGAAGGUUUCAUAACCGCGCACAAAAGAAAUUCAUGCGAGGAGGCAACAGGAUAUGUGUUCCUAAGAUGUGUAAUCACUGGAAAUGGAGGUACUCCAUACGCAUUUCUGGGACGACCAUGGGGACCUUGUGGAAGAGUGGUCUUUGCAUUUACAUAUAUGGAUGCAUGCAUCAAACAUGUAGGCUGGAAUAAUUGGGAUAAAACAGAGAAUGAAGGAAGCGCUUCCUUUAACGAAUACAGGUGUUUCGGACCGGGUAGUUGCCCAGAAAAACGAGUGACAUGGGCUAGACAACUGGGAUGUGAGGAAGCAGACCAUUUCCUCAAUCAUUAUUACAUCGACCCAGACCCGCAAAGGCCUUGGCUUGCUCAGAGAAUGGCCCUAAGAAUACCACAUUCUGCAUAGACGUUUAAAUCAGAACUACAUGGGGAUGACUCCCAACAAAUAAUGAUAGAGAAUAUUUAGACUUCGUUUUAGGAUGAGUGAAUAAAAAAGCACGCAAUUACUGUUUCAGAAUAAGCCUUGUUCAGCAGUACCGCUGAUCAUCUAUGAUCGAUCGAACUCCCUAACAAUAACUGAUGGCUGAGGAAACUCUUUGAGGCAAAUGGUGGUUGAUAACUUCUACAGACCAGAUUUGAAGAAAGCGGCCCUUGCUAGGCUCAGUGUGGUUCACAGGAGUCUCAAGGUGUCAAAAUCUGGUGCCAGGAAGAGGAAUAGGCAGGCUGUUAGAACCUACGGAAUCUCUCACCUCUCACUGAAACCUAAUCCCCAAUUUGUGCAAUUUCCCUCCUCCAUGAGUAUAAUACCAGGAUCAUCAUCCGAUCGAUCUCUCGCAGAAAGAUCAUAUAUGCAACAAGACUACCUUUUUUUGCUGAUUAUUCAAUCCUUUAAUGGAAACCAGGUGAGAAGGUUGACCCCAGCCAUUGAAAAAACCCUCCUCACAGAACACUUGGCUCUGGCACUGAUUCUAAAUUUGAAUUAGCGGGUUCAGAUACUCCUAAUAAAUCUGAACAACCAGGUGAUUUUCUUCCAGAGGGAUAUAUAAUGGUUUGUAAGAGCUGUGGGGUUGAAAAUUGUCGCAGCGGUAUGAACCAUCCUCUUUACAUGACUUGUCCCCUUUAUAAUGAUCAAGGGAAGCACUGGCCUAAUAAUUGCCCUUCAAGAAAACUUCGUGGUCUCCUUGAUACUAUGUUCUUAAAGCAUUUAAAUACGGUUAUUAGUUCUCACUAUAUUAAGGAUAAGAGAUACUACUAUCUAGGCAACUGAAUUAUCAAUGUUUGUACAUGUUACUAUUCAGCUAUGGAUAUGCUCCUCAAGGUUAUCUGUUCAUUAGAUUACCCUAAUGUCAAAAAAUUAAGCUUUUGAUUGUGUAAAUUAAUUUUGAGACUCAACAUCAAGGAUAUAUGUAUGAUUUUCUUUUCACAAAUCAAGCAUAUCGAUUUUUUUUUUGUACAAUAAAUCAAGUUUAGCAUGUUAAGUGUUAUGCUUUGAUUUCAAGUUUCAACUGCCAUAUAAACUUAAUUUUCGUCUUAGUCAUUUAUUUUGAUUGAUAUGGCUUGAAAUCAGAUUACAAACAGUUUCACUUUUGUGCUAUACUCAAGUUUUGCUUUCGCUGUCAUGUUUUAUGCAAUAAUUAGAGAGAAUGGUAUAUUUUCCAGAAACCUUGAAAACUUUAUAUUGAAAAAGUUUACAUUUGAUUGUCAAUUAUUGCUUAGAGCAAUCAAGGAUAUAAUUUUUAAUUAAAGCAUGCUGCCUUGUGUAUUUGAUCAGGAUAUUUAGUGAUGAUCAUAUGUUGAUGGAUACAUUUUUUGUCUUACUGCUCCUAUAUGAUCUUGAAUAUCCUACAUUGGUCUUCGCAUAUAUUGAUAAUCAUUAUAUUAUUUGCUUGUGUAAAAUUUCAAUGAGAGGAAAAUAUAGAAAUAUCUCCCAAAGAUUAAGCCUUGUUAAAUUAUACUGUAAGCAUAGUUGGUGUUUCAUCAAGUCUUGUGCUUGAUUGAGACGAAAUGAACCAACUUUGACCUUAGGUCUCUAGAGUGUCUCAGUGGUACAUGUUGCAGAUAUCAAACUGCCAUUGUGACCCUUCAUUGAUCAUAAAGGUUAUAAGAUCAAAACUUGUGUUUUUGGCAGGAUCAUGACUAUAUCUCCAACAAGAGGAUUGAUUUUACAUGUUCUCAAAUGCAAAACAGCACACCACAAAAUGAAGGAUAACAUAUAAUGAGAACUAAUCUUUUCUUCUUGCCAACAGGUGUUGACUGUGUCAGGGAUAACAUGUUUUCUUUUAUCUUGGUUGUGUGAAUAAGAAACUUCAGAAUGUUAUGUCUUUGUGCCAAUAGGUGUUGCUUGACAUUGUUAAACUUAUGGGGCUUAUGGCAGUACAUCAUUGUUUGUAUAAUCAAUGUUAUUUUCCUAGUACUGGUUAAGAGUUCCCAUUAGACCUGUAAAUGGACCGGAUUUUGAUCCGAAAAUUUUGGAUCAAAAAUUUUGAUCCAUUGAUCCGUU